UACGUAGGGAGCAAGCGUUGUUCGGAUUUACUGGGCGUAAAGGGCGCGUAGGCGGCGUGUUAAGUCAGCUGUGAAAUCUCUGAGCUCAACUCAGAACGGCCAGCUGAUACUGAUGUGCUAGAGUGCAGAAAGGGCAAUCGGAAUUCUUGGUGUAGCGGUGAAAUGCGUAGAUAUCAAGAGGAACACCUGAGGCGAAGGCGGGUUGCUAGGCUGACACUGACGCUGAGGCGCGAAAGCCAGGGGAGCAAAC
Molecule: ribosomal RNA, 250 nt
Filed under: uncultured bacterium
Lineage: Bacteria
Description: partial 16S ribosomal RNA
Rfam family: Bacterial small subunit ribosomal RNA
Source: RNAcentral